GACGAACGCUGGCGGCGUGCUUAACACAUGCAAGUCGAACGGAAAGGCCCUGCUUUUGUGGGGUGCUCGAGUGGCGAACGGGUGAGUAACACGUGAGUAACCUGCCCUUGACUUUGGGAUAACUUCAGGAAACUGGGGCUAAUACCGGAUAGGAGCUCCUGCUGCAUGGUGGGGGUUGGAAAGUUUCGGCGGUUGGGGAUGGACUCGCGGCUUAUCAGCUUGUUGGUGGGGUAGUGGCUUACCAAGGCUUUGACGGGUAGCCGGCCUGAGAGGGUGACCGGCCACAUUGGGCCUGGGCUACGGCCCAGACUCCUCCGGGAGGCAGCAGUGGGGAAUAUUGCACAAUGGGCGGAAGCCUGAUGCAGCAACGCCGCGUGCGGGAUGACGGCCUUCGGGUUGUAAACCGCUUUCGCCUGUGACGAAGCGUGAGUGACGGUAAUGGGUAAAGAAGCACCGGCUAACUACGUG
Molecule: ribosomal RNA, 468 nt
Filed under: uncultured bacterium
Lineage: Bacteria
Description: partial 16S ribosomal RNA
Rfam family: Bacterial small subunit ribosomal RNA
Source: RNAcentral